GACGAACGCUGGCGGCGUGCUUAACACAUGCAAGUCGAACGGAAAGGCCCUGCUUUUGUGGGGUGCUCGAGUGGCGAACGGGUGAGUAACACGUGAGUAACCUGCCCUUGACUUUGGGAUAACUUCAGGAAACUGGGGCUAAUACCGGAUAGGAGCUCCUGCUGCAUGGUGGGGGUUGGAAAGUUUCGGCGGUUGGGGAUGGACUCGCGGCUUAUCAGCUUGUUGGUGGGGUAGUGGCUUACCAAGGCUUUGACGGGUAGCCGGCCUGAGAGGGUGACCGGCCACAUUGGGACUGAGAUACGGCCCAGACUCCUACGGGAGGCAGCAGUGGGGAAUAUUGCACAAUGGGCGGAAGCCUGAUGCAGCAACGCCGCGUGCGGGAUAACGGCCUUCGGGUUGUAAACCGCUUUCGCCUGUGACGAAGCGUGAGUGACGGUAAUGGGUAAAGAAGCGCCGGCUAACUACGUG
RNAcentral lists this ribosomal RNA (468 nucleotides) under uncultured bacterium. Its description in RNAcentral is "partial 16S ribosomal RNA". It matches the Rfam family "Bacterial small subunit ribosomal RNA", at positions 28 to 507 of the family's 1533-position model. The record is from RNAcentral.